Vicia villosa (hairy vetch) is the source of this 505-nucleotide long non-coding RNA. RefSeq lists it as uncharacterized. The record is from RefSeq and is a predicted model, not a curated record. The transcript is spliced from 2 exons. NCBI's taxonomy places the organism in Eukaryota, Viridiplantae, Streptophyta, Magnoliopsida, Fabales, Fabaceae.
CUUAAUUAAUAUUCUAUUCAAAAUCCCACUUUUUUUCCCUACCAGAAUAAAAAAAAAAAAACUCGUCUUCUUCACAAUUCGAUUUUCAUCUUUCAAAACAGAAAACCCGAUCUAUCUGACUCCGUGAAGUUUCAGCUAUGGCGUUCAUGAAGGGUAAACCAGUAAUCACCAAAAUUGCAGCGUUGGCGAGAUACGGUGUUCUACCAGGAGCCAUGGUGGCGGCGCUCGUUUACUCUCCUCCUAAUUACGCUGACAAACACUCCUCCGCCACCGCCAAUUAGGUGCACGAGGGUUACAUUACAUGAAGAAAAUCAGCAGUAUGUGAGAGUCCUUUAAUGCAACAUGUUCUGUAAUAAAUUGAGUGACUAGUUUUGUUUUAGAAAUACUUAGAUUAUGACUGUUUUGGGAGACAAUUUGUUUCAUCUGAGUUUUGUGGAAUCAACUCUUUUGUCUCUUGAGUAUCACUGAAAAUAAUAACAAGGAAUGACCCUCACAUUUGUUAUUA